Molecule: ribosomal RNA, 454 nt
Filed under: uncultured bacterium
Lineage: Bacteria
Description: bacterial SSU rRNA
Rfam family: Bacterial small subunit ribosomal RNA
Source: RNAcentral
AGGCAGCAGUGGGGAAUAUUGCACAAUGGGCGCAAGCCUGAUGCAGCCAUGCCGCGUGUAUGAAGAAGGCCUUCGGGUUGUAAAGUACUUUCAGCAGUGAGGAAGGUGGGUAUGUUAAUAGCAUACUCAUUUGACGUUAGCUGCAGAAGAAGCACCGGCUAACUCCGUGCCAGCAGCCGCGGUAAUACGGAGGGUGCGAGCGUUAAUCGGAAUUACUGGGCGUAAAGCGCAUGCAGGUGGUUUGUUAAGUCAGAUGUGAAAGCCCGGGGCUCAACCUCGGAAUUGCAUUUGAAACUGGCAAACUAGAGUACUGUAGAGGGGGUAGAAUUUCAGGUGUAGCGGUGAAAUGCGUAGAGAUCUGAAGGAAUACCGGUGGCGAAGGCGGCCCCCUGGACAGAUACUGACACUCAGAUGCGAAAGCGUGGGGAGCAAACAGGAUUAGAUAACCUGGUAG